Oryzias latipes (Japanese medaka) is the source of this 634-nucleotide long non-coding RNA. RefSeq lists it as uncharacterized. The record is from RefSeq and is a predicted model, not a curated record. Lineage: Eukaryota; Metazoa; Chordata; Actinopteri; Beloniformes; Adrianichthyidae.
CUGUUUGAUCCAACUUCCUCCUCAGACGAGAACGCACAGAACCUUCCAGCGACCAAAUCCCCGGCUGAAGCCCGCGGAUCGUCUCCAAACUUCGGCUGCUCUGAAGGCGAUGAGCGUAGUGUCCUCCACACGGACCGACGGAGCCGGAGAGGACGUACUGACGCUCCGCAGAUAUGGCGCCAUCUGCUGGACGACAAACAAGCAGGCAAAGCCAGGAUAAGUUCAAAGGGACCUGGUGGAGUUUGAGAGGGAAGGGGACAGUUUGAUGGAUGUUUCAUCGUACAGUAUAUACAGCUGGAGAGCCGCAGCUGGUUUCUGUUUGAGACGGAUCAAGAGGACAACCGUAGGAACCGAAGCAGCAGAGGAUGUCGUCCUCAAAACAUUUCAAUUAAGUUCUAGGAAACAAAAGAGCGGACCAACAGCCAUCCAUCUCCAGGUUAACACCCCAUUUAACAAUGUUGCUGAGAGGCCAAAGACACUUGUUUACAGUUGCAUUUGGAGUUUGACUGAAAUCUUUUUACACCCCGAGGCAUGUUGGGAUUGCAGUGGAGUACAUAUUUUCCUGUGUUUUGUGAGAUAAAGCCAUAUAUCUGUGGUUUCCAAUACAACUUAGCGUGCUGCUGCACAACACCAA